RNAcentral lists this unclassified non-coding RNA (561 nucleotides) under Hevea brasiliensis (rubber tree). The record is from RNAcentral. Lineage: Eukaryota; Viridiplantae; Streptophyta; Magnoliopsida; Malpighiales; Euphorbiaceae.
AAAAAAAAAAAAAAAAAGAAUUUAGAUGCACAGAGACUACGCUUAUUUAUGGUUGUACAACUCGGAAAUGAUAUCUCAAGUUCUUGAAUCAUUUGCUUUCAGGACUUGCUUUUCAAGUCCUCUUAUUUCUUGGGGCUCCAUUUGAACAUUAGUAACUAAAUAAAGAAGCCCUUUUAAUAGGAUUGUAAAUUUUUAGUUGGCUUCUAAGAAACAAUCCUUCAAUCUCAUACAAAUUAUAAAACUCACAUGUGAAGGAAAUAAUGCAUGGUUAUCAAACAGAUUUGCACGUAGCUCAAAUUAGUAGAAACUAGAAUAUUGAGGAUCAAAUCAAGCUUCUGUCAUUUUCUUCUUAUAUCUGGUUCAUCUAUAAUUUCUCUCUGCUUAUGUUUAUGAGCACAGUUGUUAUCAAUAUUGUUUCUUGCAUAUACCUUUGCCAUCAGACACCCCUGAAUUGCAAUCUCAUAUGUGAAUAUUUAAUCUGCCAUGAUUCUAAUUGAUUUUUCAGGUUGAAUAUGUAUAUUUGUGUUAUUGUUGCUGAGUUUUGUUGUUCAACAUUCUCAG